AACAUCGUCUUUUGAUAAUACAAUCAUAAAAGAUAAUGCCUGCCCAGUGAAAUUUUAAACGGCCGCGUUAGCGUGAGCGUGCUAAGGUAGCGUAAUAAUUAGCCUUUUAAUUGGAGGCCAGUGAAUGGCAAGACUAGGAACACCUUUACUUUAUGUAUAAAAAAAACUUUUCAUCUAAGUGAAAAGACUUAGAUAAUAAAGGUAGACGAAAAGACCCCGCGGAACUUUACCUUUUCCUAUACUACAGUGCAUUUACUUAAAAGUAUUUAAGGUUUGAUUGGGGCAAUCUUGGAACCAACAAAGCUUCCAAUUUUUUAAAAAACCCAUUUAAAAUUUAUUACGGACCAAAAAGAAGUUACCCCGGGGAUAACAG
Molecule: ribosomal RNA, 373 nt
Filed under: Anodonta anatina
Lineage: Eukaryota; Metazoa; Mollusca; Bivalvia; Unionida; Unionidae
Description: partial 16S ribosomal RNA
Rfam family: Bacterial large subunit ribosomal RNA
Source: RNAcentral